RNAcentral lists this ribosomal RNA (370 nucleotides) under Microbacterium sp. 4CBAH3. RNAcentral describes it as "bacterial SSU rRNA". It matches the Rfam family "Bacterial small subunit ribosomal RNA", at positions 390 to 774 of the family's 1533-position model. Lineage: Bacteria; Bacillati; Actinomycetota; Actinomycetes; Micrococcales; Microbacteriaceae. The record is from RNAcentral.
AGCACGCCGCGUGAGGGAUGACGGCCUUCGGGUUGAAACCUCUUUUAGCAGGGAAGAAGCGAGAGUGACGGUACCUGCAGAAAAAGCACCGGCUAACUACGUGCCAGCAGCCGCGGUAAUACGUAGGGUGCAAGCGUUAUCCGGAAUUAUUGGGCGUAAAGAGCUCGUAGGCGGUUUGUCGCGUCUGCCGUGAAAUCCUCAGGCUCAACCUGAGGCUUGCGGUGGGUACGGGCAGACUUGAGUGCGGUAGGGGAGAUUGGAAUUCCUGGUGUAGCGGUGGAAUGCGCAGAUAUCAGGAGGAACACCGAUGGCGAAGGCAGAUCUCUGGGCCGUAACUGACGCUGAGGAGCGAAAGGGUGGGGAGCAAACA